UACAGAGGGUGCAAGCGUUAAUCGGAAUUACUGGGCGUAAAGCGUGCGUAGACGGUUAUGUAAGUCGGAUGUGAAAGCCCCGGGCUCAACCUGGGAAUGCCAUUCGAGACUGCAUAGCUAGGGUGCGGAAGAGGGAAGCGGAAUUUCCGGUGUAGCGGUGAAAUGCGUAGAUAUCGGGAGGAAUACCGAUGGCGAAGGCAGGUCUCUGGGCUAUAACUGACGCUCAUGCACGAAAGCGUGGGGAGCAAACAGG
RNAcentral lists this ribosomal RNA (253 nucleotides) under uncultured bacterium. RNAcentral describes it as "partial 16S ribosomal RNA". It matches the Rfam family "Bacterial small subunit ribosomal RNA", at positions 524 to 776 of the family's 1533-position model. The record is from RNAcentral.